RNAcentral lists this small nuclear RNA (24 nucleotides) under Arabidopsis thaliana (thale cress). RNAcentral's name for it is "snRNA_11631". Lineage: Eukaryota; Viridiplantae; Streptophyta; Magnoliopsida; Brassicales; Brassicaceae. The record is from RNAcentral.
GCGGAUGCUAACGCAAUGUGAUUU